AGAGUUUGAUCAUGGCUCAGAACGAACGUUAGCGGCGCGCCUAACACAUGCAAGUCGAGCGAGAAAGGGAGCAAUCCCCGGUACAGCGGCGCACGGGUGAGUAACACGUAGGUAAUCUGCCCUUGAGUUGGGGAUAACCUUCCGAAAGGAGGGCUAAUACCGAAUGAGACCACGGAAUCGAGAGGUUUUGAGGUCAAAGCCGGCCACUUCACGAAAGCUGGUGCUUGAGGAUGAGCCUGCGGCCCAUCAGCUAGUUGGUAGGGUAAUGGCCUACCAAGGCAAAGACGGGUAGCUGGUCUGAGAGGAUGAUCAGCCACACUGGAACUGAGACACGGUCCAGACUCCUACGGGAGGCAGCAGUGGGGAAUCUUGCGCAAUGGGCGAAAGCCUGACGCAGCGACGCCGCGUGAGUGAUGAAGGCCUUCGGGUUGUAAAGCUCUGUGGAGGGGGACGAAUAAGUGUUGGCUAACAUCCAGCAUGAUGACGGUACCCCUUUAGCAAGCACCGGCUAACUCUGUGCCAGCAGCCGCGGUAAGACAGAGGGUGCAAACGUUGUUCGGAAUUACUGGGCGUAAAGCGCGUGUAGGCGGCUUGGCAAGUCGGGUGUGAAAGCCCCGGGCUCAACCUGGGAAGUGCACUCGAAACUGCUUGGCUUGAGUACUGGAGAGGGAAGCGGAAUUCUCGGUGUAGAGGUGAAAUUCGUAGAUAUCGAGAGGAACACCGGUGGCGAAGGCGGCUUCCUGGACAGUUACUGACGCUGAGACGCGAAAGCGUGGGGAGCAAACAGGAUUAGAUACCCU
This 800-nucleotide ribosomal RNA is filed under the name uncultured bacterium. Its description in RNAcentral is "bacterial SSU rRNA". It matches the Rfam family "Bacterial small subunit ribosomal RNA", at positions 8 to 788 of the family's 1533-position model. The record is from RNAcentral.